UUAGAUAACAUAAUGGUAAUGUAUUAGAUUGCAAAUCUUGUAAUGACGGUUCAAUUCCGUCUCUA
RNAcentral lists this transfer RNA (65 nucleotides) under Pyramimonas obovata. It matches the Rfam family "tRNA". From Rfam's summary of the family: Transfer RNA (tRNA) molecules are approximately 80 nucleotides in length. Their secondary structure includes four short double-helical elements and three loops (D, anti-codon, and T loops). Further hydrogen bonds mediate the characteristic L-shaped molecular structure. tRNAs have two regions of fundamental functional importance: the anti-codon, which is responsible for specific mRNA codon recognition, and the 3' end, to which the tRNAs corresponding amino acid is attached (by aminoacyl-tRNA synthetases). tRNAs cope with the degeneracy of the genetic code in two manners: having more than one tRNA (with a specific anti-codon) for a particular amino acid; and 'wobble' base-pairing, i.e. permitting non-standard base-pairing at the 3rd anti-codon position. Lineage: Eukaryota; Viridiplantae; Chlorophyta; Pyramimonadophyceae; Pyramimonadales; Pyramimonadaceae. The record is from RNAcentral.